CCUACGGGCGGCAGCAGUGAGGAAUAUUGGUCAAUGGGCGCGAGCCUGAACCAGCCAAGUAGCGUGAAGGAUGACUGCCCUACGGGUUGUAAACUUCUUUUAUAAAGGAAUAAAGUGAGGCACGUGUGCCUUUUUGGAUGUACUUUAUGAAUAAGGAUCGGCUAACUCCGUGCCAGCAGCCGCGGUAAGACGGAGGAUCCGAGCGUUAUCCGGAUUUAUUGGGUUUAAAGGGAGCGUAGAGGGGUUGUUAAGUCAGUUGUGAAAGUUUGCGGCUCAACCGUAAAAUUGCAAUUGAUACUGGCAGCCUUGAGUCCAGUUGCGUUAGGCGGAAUUCGUUUUGUAGCGG
RNAcentral lists this ribosomal RNA (346 nucleotides) under uncultured bacterium. RNAcentral describes it as "partial 16S ribosomal RNA". It matches the Rfam family "Bacterial small subunit ribosomal RNA", at positions 338 to 681 of the family's 1533-position model. The record is from RNAcentral.